AACAAGGCGUACCUGCGGACCUGCGGAGGGAUCAUUACACAAUACAAUAUGAAGGCUGUCCGCAGCUGGAGUAUUUUAUUACCCUUGUCUUUUGCGCACUUGUUGUUUCCUGGGCGGGUUCGCUCGCCACCAGGACCACCAAAUAAACCUUUUUUAUGCAGUUGCAAUCAGUGUCAGUACAAACAAUGUAAAUCAUUUACAACUUUCAACAACGGAUCU
Molecule: unclassified non-coding RNA, 219 nt
Filed under: soil metagenome
Description: partial contains 5.8S ribosomal RNA, internal transcribed spacer 2, and large subunit ribosomal RNA
Source: RNAcentral